RNAcentral lists this long non-coding RNA (7497 nucleotides) under Mytilus galloprovincialis (Mediterranean mussel). Lineage: Eukaryota; Metazoa; Mollusca; Bivalvia; Mytilida; Mytilidae. The record is from RNAcentral.
UGACGUUGGCAGAAGUAUACAGAGAUGAUAGAGAUGAAGAUGGAUUUUUAUAUAUGACUUAUGCUUCACAAGAAAUGUUUGGAAAUUGUUUGAAAUGAUGACAUUAAUGUAUUUUUUCAUUGAAAUGUCUUAUAAAAAGGUGGCAUGCACUGGUUCAUUCUAUUUUGAUCUGAAAUUUAAUAUAUUGUGAAUAUUUCUCAUCAUGAAAUAAUGAUAAUUCAUGUUGAUUGUCAUGGAUUUAUUGUGUUAAUGUUUAUCAUUAUGUAUAUCUAUAUUUGAAUGCAUAGUAUUCCCUUAUGGAAAGAUGCAUACAUGAAAUGAACAAAAUAAUAACAAAAAAGUACAUAAUACAUUAUAAGGGUAUACAAGUACAAUGCAUAAUAUCAGUACAUGUUUAAUUGGCGGAGGCAUUUUUUUCUGAUUUUGGUAAGGCAUGUACAGUGCCUAUCUAACAAUUGCUUAUAGAUAUAUUUAGAGUCUUGUUUCGAUGUUUAUCAUAAUCAACAGAUGAUUAAGACACCAGAAUUGAAAAUCUACAAUUCAAUAUAACUGGUAUAAUAAAUUUUUGAAAAUGUCAUUAUAUAGCAAUGGGAGAAUGGUUAGUCAAAAACAAUACAGAUGCUGUAUCUAACACUUGCUUUGAAUAUGUCACAACACAUGUACCCAUCAAUACCAUAUUUUUUGUUAGAUACUGGUGUUUUUAUUCGACUGCAAAAAUUGAUUUUUUUUGGUCGUAUAUUGGUAUGACGUUGGCGUCAUCGUCGUCGUCAUCCGAAGACAUUUGGUUUUCGCACUAUAACUUUAGUAUAAGUGAAUAGAAAUCCACGAAACUAACACACACAAGGUUAAUUACCAUAAAAGGAAGGUUGGGAUUGAUUUUGGGAGUUUUGGUACCAUUAGUUUAGGAAUUAGGGGCCAAAAAGGGCCCUAAUAAGCAUUUUUCUUGGUUUUCGCACAAUAACUUUAGUAUAAGUAAACAGAAAUCUGAAAUUUUAACAUAAGGUUUAUGACCACAAAAGGAAGGUUGGGAUUGAUUUUGGGAGUUUAUGGUUCCAAAAGUUAAGGAAUUAGGGGCCAAAAGGGUCCAAAAUUAACUUUGUUUGAUUUCAUCAAAAAAUGAAUCAUUGGGGUUCUUUGAUAUGCCAAAUCUAACUGUGUAUUUAGAUUCUUAAUUUUUGGUCCUGUUUUCAAAUUGGUCUACAUUAAGGUUCAAAUGGUCCAAAAUUGAACUUAGUUUGAUUUUAACAAAAAUUGAAUUCUUGGGGUUCUUUGAUAUGCUGAAUCUAAACAUGUACUUGGAUUUUUGAUUAUGGGCCAAGUUUUCAAGUUGGUCUAAAUUGGGGUCCAAAAUUAAACUUUGUUUGAUUUCAACAAAAAUUGAAUAUAUUGGGUUCUUCAAUAUGCUGAAUCUAACCAUGUAUUUAGAAAUUUUAAUAUUUGGGCCUGGUUAUCAAAUUGGUCCACAUUGAGGUCUAAAGGGUCUAAAAUUGAACAUUAUUUGAUUUCAUCAAAAAUUGAAUUCUUGGGGUUCUAUGAUAUGCUGAAUCUAACCAUGUAUUUAGAUUUUGGAAAUUGGACCAUAUUAAAUAGGUAAAUGUCCAAUUGAAAACUUUUAAGUUUUUAAGUUUAAGUUCUUAGACCACAUUCAUUCUGUGUCAGAAACCUAUGUUGUGUCAACUAUUUAAUCACAAUCCAAAUUCAGAGCUGUAUCAAGCUAAAAUGUUGUGUCUAUACUUGCCCCAACUGUUCAGUGUUUCGACCUCUGCGGUCGUAUAAAGCUGUGCCCUGCGGAUCAUCUGGUUUUAUGUUGCUGCAGAAAUUCUGCACACGUCCCAUGCACUUUUGUCUGAAUACUGAAUGUAUUUGGUAUAAAUAUGCGAAUAUUAUUGAGCAUUUCUUCAAUGAAUAUUCAUGAAAAUAUUAUUUAAGAACAUAAAUAAAUAAUAUGAAAAUAUUUGUCAUGAGAAAUAUAUAUAUAUGUAUAAGUAAAAAACCAUUAAUAUCUAUGCACAUGUACAGAAAAAUUUUGUUUGCAGAUAAAUAUCCGAAAAACAUAUUCCAACAACAGUAGGAGUGUACAUAUCUGUCUAUCAGGUAUCAUAUUAUCGCCUGCCAACAUAACUUGUGGUCAUUCGAUGUUCAGUACUUCAGUACUUUGAUUUGUAUGUGCCUUAAUCAUUGACAAACAAAUAUAGUCAAGGAAUAAACUGUUUGUUUUACCACUACAUUCCUUAGCCAAGUUUUAAUAUUUGAUGUUUCAUGUGGGAAGAAAACUAAAAAAAUCAAUGUAUUUAUUUCUGUAAAUUCAACAAGUAAAUAUGUUCAACAGGUUUUAAAAAAAACAAUUUUGCCAGUUAUUGUUAAAUUUAGACGUACCCGAAUGAACACAUUAGAAGCAAUUCAAUAUUUAAUACCUUAAAGUUACCCCAAUACUUGAAUAAGUAUUCUAAAAUCUUCUUAUGAAUGAAGUAUAAUUAUGUAUCUAUUUGGAAAAGUUUUUUUGAUGUUCUCAGAUGACACAACUAUUGAAAGUUUUAUUGUUGUGACCCCCAAAAUAAUCAAUCUUUAUUUUGAAGACAAGAAAACAAAAAUUCCUGUAAAGGACCAAGAGGUUGUGUGACACAUUAUUUCAUCACAAUGUGUCAGUCAUCUGUUGUACAUCAUGAACAUUUUCUCCUAUGAAACCACUUCCUCAGUUGGAACCUAAAUAGGUAAAGAUCAUUCUAAAGGUAUCUAGUUUCACAGUUUACCAAUCUUCUUGACAAUCAGCCAGUGUUACAACCGCUUCUAAAACUAACAAAGAAAAAAAAAUAUGAGAAGUUGAAAUUGCAACUAGAAUGUUAGUCAAUCAUAUGUUGUAUCAUCCCUUUAGAUCCAUAUCCUUCACCUCCAUCAAACUUAGCUAUCAACUUUGCUGAAAGUUUAACAUUUUAUCCAUAUAAAAAAAAAUAUAUGAAAAGUGACUGGUUAAAUUGUUCACGAGGCACUUUAUAAAUUUAAUUGAUAAUCUUCAUUAUCAAAAAAAGAAAUAAAGCUGCCAUAUUUUUGUUUUAACUUAAAAUCUUUCAAAGAAUCAAUUAAUACAAAACAUGUUUAUAAGGAAGGAAUAAAUUUCAACCUUCCAUUUUGAAUAAUGGUUCGAUAACUACAGCUCCUAUUUAGCAUGACCUAUUCCAUGACUAAAAUGAAAAAUAGGAGUUAACUGAACCUAACUUAGUACUGGCAUUAAAUGUUUUAGCAAUAUUUUUAUAUCUGGGAGUUAUCUUCCCAUGUUGUGUCAAGAUACGAAAUUUGGAGAGUGAUACUCUUCUAUGGGCCUCCAUUUAAGACUUGAAUCAUUGACAAUAAAUAUAUUUGUAACUGUUAGCAACUGUACAUGUUCUGUCUUUCAUUCAUUCAGGGAAUGGUUAUAUAGUGCAAUUAUUUGUGGAGUUGUACAUAAUUCAUCUUUACAUAUAUAAUUAAAAUAAUUUUUAAAUUGCAUAGUUUUUAGUUCCUAUGUAUUGAGUCUGCAUUCAAAUUUUUUCCCAAAAAAGAGGGGACCGGACCCCCUGGCCCCACCUAAAUCCGCCUCUGCUACCACAAAGUGGUCUGGGCUAUAACAUUUUUAUACCCCACGCAACGAAGUUGCUGAGGGUAUAAUGUUUUUGACCCGUCCGUCCGUCAGUCCGUCAGUUUCUUGUCAUCGCAACUCCUCUCAAACCACACUACAGAAUUUCACGAAACCUUUUCAGAUAAUAAGGACAAACUAUGUAGUUGUGCAUAUCGACGGGAAAUUGCGAUUCAAUUUUUUUUUCUAGGAGUUACGCCCCUUUGAACUUAUUUACUUUAAUGUACUACUGCAACAGUUUGUCAUCGCAACUCCUCUCAUACCACACAACAGAAUUUCACGAAACCUUUUCAGAUAAUAAGGACAUACUAUGUAGUUGUGCAUAUCGACGGGAAAUUGCGAUUCAAUUUUUUUCUAGGAGUUACGCCCCUUUGAACUUAUUUACUUUAAUGUACUACUGCAACAGUUUGUCAUCGCAACUCCUCUCAUACCACACAACAGAAUUUCACGAAACCUUUUCAGAUAAUAAGGACAUACUAUGUAGUUGUGCAUAUCGACGGGAAAUUGCGAUUCAAUUUUUUUUCUAGGAGUUACGCCCCUUUGAACUUAUUUCCUUUAAUGUACUACUGCAACAGUUUGUCAUCGCAACUCCUCUCAAACCACACAACAGAAUUUCAUGAAACUUUGUAGAUAAUAAGGACAUACUAUGUAGAUGUGCAUAUCAACAGGAAAUUACGGUUCAAUUUUUUUUCUAGGAGUUAUGCCCCUUUGAACUUAUUUGCCUCAAUGUACUUCUGCAACAGUUUGUCAUCUCAACUCCUCUGAAAACACACAACAAAAUUUCAUGAAAUUUUGUAGAUAAUAAGGACAUACUAUGUAUAUUGACAGAAAAUUAUUAUUCAAUAUUUUUUCUUAUACAAUUUUUUUUUCUUAUACUUAUUUAAUUUUUUUAGUAUGCAAUUCUGUCACAUAAAGCUCUGGGGGUAGCAUUACCUACUUAUUUAAAAAAAAAAAACAACAGCAAAUUGAUUUAGGUUAAAACAGAUAACAAGGAACUGAACAGGAGUAAAACGUAUAACAUUAAAUGAAAUAUUAAAAUCAGUCUAGUCUAGGACAAAUCCAGUAUAUCUUAUUAUAAUCCUUUGUUAUGAAUUCCAUUUUCUAUGAACACAUCUUUAUUAUACCACCUCAAAACAAAUAUUUUGCGGUCGUAUAUUGGUAUCACGUUGUCCUCAUCUGUCUCGUCCGAAGACAGUUGGUCCCGGACAAUAACUUGAGUAUGAGUGAAUAGAAAUCCACGAAAUUUACACACACAAGGUUUAUAACCACAAAAGGAAGUUUGGGAUUGAUUAUUGGGGUUAUGGUCCCAACAGUUUAGGAAUUAGGGGCUAAAAAGGGGUCAAAAUAAACGUUUUAGUAGUUUCCUGUCAAUAACUUGUGUUGAAUUAAGUGUAUGAAUCUUUCUGAAAUUAUACCACAAAGGGAUGGUUAGAAUUGUCUUUGGGAGAAUAUAGCUUUAGGAGUUUGGACAAAAAAAGGAGGAAAAACAAGAGUUUCCUAGUUAAUGGACAAUUAAGAUAAUGUUAAAGCAGUGUCAGGGAGGUAAUCCAAUCACAUCGUGGGAAGGGACUAUUUUUUCUCCUGUCAGAUUUUAGUAAUUAGAAAGAAAAGUUCUAAUUAUUUAUACGAAUUUUUGCGGUCGUAUAUUGGUUUCAUGUCGUCGUCAGCGUCGUCCGAAGACGGAUGGUUUCCGGAUAAUAACUUUCGUAUAAGUUAAUCAAAAACAAUAAAAUUUUAACACAAUGUGUAUAACUACAUAAAGGAAGGUUGGGAUUGAUUUUGGGGGUUAUGGUCCAAUCGGUUUAAGAAUAAGGGGCCCAAAAGGUCCAAAAACAUACAUUUAUCUAGGUUCAGGACAAUAAGUUGUGUAUAAGUAUUUCAAUUACUCUGAAAAUUGAAUAUGCCUUUGUUUUGAAAUGCUUCGAAAAUUAUGUUCUUCAUGUUAUAAUGCUUUAAGUAAUUUCCUCGGACCUUUUAAGUACCAUUAAGUAGAUGUUUGGAAUUUAUUUUAAGGGUUACGGGGCUAACAGUCUAUGAAUUAAGGGACAAAAAGAGGCAAAAAAUAAGCAUUUUUAAAGUUUAGGGACAAUUACUUAUGUUUAACUGUAUGGAUCUUUCUUACAUUGUACCACAAGGUUCCAUAUAAAGAAGGGAAGGCUUGAUGUCAGUUUGGGGUUAAUAUCCCUGAACAUUUAGGAAUAAGGGGCAAAAAAAGGGCCAAAAAGAAGCAUUUUUCUAGUUUACAGACAAUAACUUGUGUUUAAGUGUAUGGAUCUCUCUGAAAUUAUACUACAAGGUACCUUACUACAAAUGAAAGGCUGGAAUUGAGUUUUGAGGUUCUUGCUCCAAGGGGGGUUUCAAUGAGUGAGGGGCCAAAAAGGGGGCCUGAUAAGCAUGUUUGUAGUUUCAGUCAACAACUUGUGUUUUUAAAAGUGUAUAAAUCUCUGAAAUUAUAUCACAAAUUUCCAUACUACAAAGGGAUGGUUAUAGGGGGAAAUGGAUCAAAUCAUUAAGCAAUUAGGGGCAAAAAAAGUGGGGGGACGGGUUUUUCUGGUUAAAUGACAAUUUAGACAAUUUAAAAGCAGUGUAAGGGAGGUAAUCCAAUUAAGAUUUAAAGAAUACUGUUAUACAUAUGUUUGAUUACUUGAUUACCUCCCUUACACUGCUUGAAAACUAUGUUAAAGGAAGUGAUAAUUGUCUUGAGAUGUGUAUAUUCUUCAAAUAUUUUUUUUGAGGGGAUUUAUAUUCAACAGCAUAGUGUUUGGUCAGAAGCCAAAAAAAAAUGUUAAAGUUCAUUAGACCACAUUCACUCUGUGUCAGAAACCUUUGCUGUGUCAACUAUUUAAUCACAAUCCAAAUUCAGAGCUGUAUCAAGCUUGAAUGUUGUGUCCAUAGUUACCCCAACUGAUCAGGGUUCGACCUCUGCGGUCGUAUAAAGCUGCGCCCUUCAGAGCAUCUGGUUUUAAAAAAAAAAAGGAAAAAAAGGGUGCGGUCGUAUAAAGCUGUCCCCUUUUGAGCAUCUGGUUUUAAAAAAAUGCAAAAAAGGGCGGGGGAGAGGGAGGUCGAUUUGCAACAGCAUAGUGUAUUGCACAAAAGCACAAAAAUGAAUAUAAAUUCAAAUCACAUAACCAAUUUAAGUUCUUUGACAUAAUUAUUCUGUGUAAAAUAUUUAUUUACAAUCCAAUUUCUGACCUGUAUUAAGUGCUAUUAUUGUGUCCAUUUUUGCCCCCAACUGUUCAGGGUUGGACCUCUGCGGUCGUAUCAAGCUGCGCUCAGCGAAGCAAUUUAUUAUAGUUAUGUAUCUAGCAUUGGUUUACUUAAGGUGUCAUACCUCAAAUUUAGAGCCUACUCGGCCAAAAAAUAGUGCAUUUGAUGUCAUUGUUCACCAUAACUAACCAACAAAUUUGCAGAAAUGAAAGUUUUGUUGAAAGAGAAAUAUAUUAAGACCAUUUUAAGCCAAAAUUUACCUGUUUAUGAGUUUGCAUUAAAAAUUGAGGAUUAAUGCGCUCCAUAGUAUACUAAUUUAAGAUUUCCAGAAAACCAGGGGUUAUUUUUAGUGGUACCUCCUUUCGGAAGCUCUCUUCUUUCUUAUAUGAUUUUGAAUGUAUGUUGAAAAUUGGCAUGCAGAAAGGUGACACCUGAACGAUUCAGGAUAUACCUAGUUUCUAUGAAGUUAAACUUAAGGUAAAAUAUUUAGAAAGCUGUGAAAAUUGCAAAAUUUGGUUGAACAGAUAGGGACUUUUAAUUGGUGGUAUGACACCUUAAUGUAUGAUACAAAAUAUUGUCAUGGAAUUCUAUUUUAUUUUUGUACUUUUUAAGAGACUCACUAAUGCUUGUAAUAUAAAUAGUGUGUGUAUUUUUUUUAAAGCACCACAGAGCUGAGUCUG